Molecule: ribosomal RNA, 495 nt
Filed under: uncultured bacterium
Lineage: Bacteria
Description: partial 16S ribosomal RNA
Rfam family: Bacterial small subunit ribosomal RNA
Source: RNAcentral
GACGAACGCUGGCGGCGUGCCUAAUACAUGCAAGUCGAACGCUGAAGGAGGAGCUUGCUCUUCUGGAUGAGUUGCGAACGGGUGAGUAACGCGUAGGUAACCUGCCUGGUAGCGGGGGAUAACUAUUGGAAACGAUAGCUAAUACCGCAUAACAGUAGAUGUUGCAUGACAUUUGCUUAAAAGGUGCAAUUGCAUCACUACCAGAUGGACCUGCGUUGUAUUAGCUAGUUGGUGGGGUAACGGCUCACCAAGGCGACGAUACAUAGCCGACCUGAGAGGGUGGUCGGCCACACUGGGACUGGGACACGGCCCAGACUCCUACGGGAGGCAGCAGUAGGGAAUCUUCGGCAAUGGACGGAAGUCUGACCGAGCAACGCCGCGUGAGUGAAGAAGGUUUUCGGAUCGUAAAGCUCUGUUGUAAGAGAAGAACGAGUGUGAGAGUGGAAAGUUCACACUGUGACGGUAUCUUACCAGAAAGGGACGGCUAACUACGUG